UAAAGCAAGAAAGGGCGUAUGGGGAAUGCCUAGGCACACUCCGGCGAAGAAGGACGCAGCAAACAGCGAAAUGCGACGGUGAGCGGUAAGCACGUGAAGAGCCGUCGAUAUCCGAAUGGGGGAACCCACACGGAGUCAUAUCCGUGUAUCACAUGUCGAAUACAUAGACAUGAUGAGGCGAGACGCAGGGAACUGAAACAUCUAAGUACCUGCAGGAAGAGAAAAUAAGAAUGAUUUUCUGAGUAGCGGCGAGCGAAAGGGAAAGAGCCCAAACCGAUCUUAGGAUCGGGGUAGUAGGAUCAUCGAGAAAUCUGACAGAGGAUCAUAGAGGAAUCACAUGGGAAGGUGAGCGAGAGAGGGUGAGAGCCCCGUACUCGAAAUGAGAGACUGGAGAGAGAUGACACCUGAGUAGGGCGGGACACGAGAAAUCCUGUCUGAAUCAGCCGGGACCAUCCGGCAAGGCUAAAUACGAGAGAGUGACCGAUAGUGAACCAGUACCGUGAGGGAAAGGUGAAAAGAACCCCGGGAGGGGAGUGAAAGAGAACCUGAAACCGUAUGUCUACAAGCAGUCGGAGCGAAAGCGACGGCGUGCCUAUUGAAGAAUGAACCAACGAGUUACGUGCACUAGCGAGGUUAAGUGGAAGACACGGAGCCGAAGCGAAAGCGAGUCUUAAGAGGGCGGAUAGUUAGUGUACGUAGACCCGAAACCGCAGUGAUCUACCCAUGUCCAGGUUGAAGCGCAGGUAAAAUUGCGUGGAGGACCGAACCUGUGAGCGUUGAAAAGCUUUAGGAUGAGAUGUGGGUAGAGGUGAAAUUCCAAUCGAACGCGGAGAUAGCUGGUUCUCCCCGAAAUAGCUUUAGGGCUAGCCUCAAGUAGUAAGUAUAGGCGGUAGAGCACUGAUCGGGCUAGGGGCCAUAAAGGUUACCGAACCCUGUCAAACUCCGAAUGGUUAUACUGUAGAGCUUGGGAGUCAGACUACGAGUGAUAAGAUCCGUGGUCAAAAGGGAAACAGCCCAGACCACCAGCUAAGGUCCCCAAUGUCGUACUAAGUGGAAAAGGAUGUGGGGUCUCUAAAACAACCAGGAUGUUGGCUUAGAAGCAGCCACCAUUUAAAGAGUGCGUAAUAGCUCACUGGUCGAGAGACCCUGCGCCGAAGAUUACCGGGGCUAAAGUACGAAACCGAAGCUGUGGCUACGACGUAAGUCGUGGGGUAGGGGAGCGUUCUGUGAGGGCUGAAGUCGUUCUGUAAGGAACGGUGGACUUCACAGAAGUGAGAAUGUUGGUAUGAGUAGCGAAAAGAAUGGUGAGAAUCCAUUCCACCGAAAGCAUAAGGAUUCCUGGGCAACGAUCGUCGUCCCAGGGUAAGUCGGGACCUAAUCCGAGGCAUGGAGCGUAGGAGAUGGACAACUGGCAGAUAUUCCAGUACCGGUAAUGAUUGUUUGAGCGAUGGAGUGACACAGGAGGGCAGGCAGGCAGGAGAUUGGUUGUUCCUGUACAAGCGUGUAGGAUGGGACGUAGGCAAAUCCGCGUCCUGUGAGUCUGAGGCGUGAUGUGGAGGUUCCGGAAACGGAACUGAAGCUGCUGACCCCACACUGUCGAGAAAAGCUUCUAGUUAGAGAAUUACCGCCCGUACCGUAAACCGACACAGGUAUGCGGGGAGAGAAUCCUAAGGUGCGCGGGAGAACCCUCGUUAAGGAACUCGGCAAAAUGUACCCGUAACUUCGGGAUAAGGGUAGCCGCUGUUGUGAAGUCUGCACAGACGGAGCAUGAGGCGGUCGCAGAGAAGAGGCCCAAGCGACUGUUUACCACAAACACAGGUGCCUGCUAAAGAGAAAUCUGACGUAUAGGUGCUGACACCUGCCCAGUGCCGGAAGGUUAAGGAAGGAUGUCCGGAGCAAUCCAAAGCAUUCGACCGAAGCCCCGGUGAACGGCGGCCGUAACUAUAACGGUCCUAAGGUAGCGAAAUUCCUUGUCGGGUAAG
Molecule: ribosomal RNA, 1982 nt
Filed under: human gut metagenome
Description: bacterial LSU rRNA
Rfam family: Bacterial large subunit ribosomal RNA
Source: RNAcentral